RNAcentral lists this long non-coding RNA (5026 nucleotides) under Triticum aestivum (bread wheat). RNAcentral describes it as "long non-coding RNA (TAES_LNC004779)". Lineage: Eukaryota; Viridiplantae; Streptophyta; Magnoliopsida; Poales; Poaceae. The record is from RNAcentral.
AAAACCUUCUGGCAUUGCCACAGGAAGCUUACACAUCUGCUCAUGUCAUAGUGUUCUCUGUUUUUGUUGUUGUUGCUGCAGGAUGCUCAUGCCGUAGCUUACAGUACCAGGCAACAAUCUUCUGUUGAUUACAGUGCCAAAAACUCCAGUAGGCCGCGGGACUCCUACGCCGCUGGUGCCUGUCAAUGUCGCUGCCGAUGCCCUGCAUCCGAUUGGCUGCCAAGGAAUCCACCAACCCGUCCCAAUACACGUCUGUAUCCCACAUCAUGAGCUCCUCGAAGGUGAGCAGCUGGCCCAGCCUCGCCAUGUAGAACACGGUCUUGGUAGUGGAGAUGUUGUCAUUGUCAUUGCGGUCGAAGGUGUGGAGCAUAGGGCGUGAGCACCGGCAUGAUGGUGUGCGCCAGCUCGUCGAACUCGGAGGCCCGCUGACAUUUGCAUCGAUGGCGAGCAGCAGAAGGACUCCUCACCCGGCGGUCGCAAGCUUAGGGGGGUGGAGCGGGGCAUCGAGCUUGAGAUCUGCUGGCUCCUGUCACGUCAUCACUGACUCAGACCAGAAGAGUUCUGUUGUGUUCGGCGUCGCGCCCUCCACAGCCUGCGAUGGUGAUCACGAUGCCAAUGCAGAACGACGCGCCGACGCCUGUCGCUGCCCUGCAUCCUGCUCCGCGCUGUGACCAGUGCUGCCACCCUGCUCUGUGUUGUGCCCUCGAUAGGCGCCAUCCUUGGACGCCAUCUCUUCCAACCUCUUCUUCCCUUCCGGAUUGAUACCAGCGCCCAGCUUAAAAAAUGAUCCGUGUUGUUGGCACCAUUCCAAACUGAAAUCAAUUACAUACUCAAGGCAGUUCUAGAUGUCUGCAAGUUUGUGAUCUGCAAAUAUUAUAGUCAAAAGGAUUUCAAUUGUGAUAGGCCGUAGCUUCACUUUACAUCCUCAGUUCAGUUCUAGAUCUCUGCAAGUUUGUGAUUUGCAAAUAUUAUAUUAAAAAGGAUUUCAAUUAUGAUAAUCCAUAGAUUUACUAAUCCCACUGUUAUACUAUGUGUGCUCACUGAUGCAUGUGUCUUCAAAUUAUGAUAGGCUCUGUAGCUGGAUCAGGUGAAUCUGUUUUGUCGUGUGAAUACCAGUAAAGUGAAACAGAAGCAGCACACAGGCGCGUCUUCUUGCUUUUUUUUACUUGCCGUAGCUGGAUCAUUAGCUUAAACGCAAAGCAAUCUAGCCUAUUCCUUUCCCCCAUGAUAUCUCUUCUUAAUUUGGUAGAUCAUGUUUUUGCAAGAUGACAGCACCAUAUGUGUAGCUGGAUCAUUAGCUUGAACGCAAAGCAAUCUAGCCUAUUCUUUUCCCCCAUGAUAUCUCUUCUUAAUUUGGUAGAUCGUGUUUUUGCAAGAUGACAACACCAUAUGUGUAGUUGCUGACUGUCUUUAUAUCGCAAAAAUAUUAUGGUUUCAAGCAUCUACCUGUCUCUUAUUAUUAAUGAAGGACCCAGCCUAUUAUUUGAUUUUAAGUUGUUAGAUUCAUCAUAUAGUAUUUAAUAUUGGCAAAUUAAAUUUCGAACGUGACUAUUGAUGUUCUUAGGAAAAAUUUGAAACAUUUGCUGCUGGCAUUUGCCAUUCUAGGAGAGAUUCUAAACUAUUUUAUAUUUGAUUGUAAUAUACAAAAGCCAUAGUGCAGAAUUAAUACGUAAGUAAACAAUAGUCACGUUCCCUUGCUAUAAGAUUACCACGGUGUCCCUUGCUAUAAGAUUACCACGGUGUCGAGGUAUUUUUACCUUUCAUGAGUUAUUACUCGAAACCAGCCCAUCUCACCGUCCCCUCAAAAAAAAAAUCUCCCCGUCUUUUCCUAAUCUACUGCGGACGGUUUUUAUUUUAUACCGGGGGGCGUGCUGCUCGGCGGCGCGGUCUUGACGAUGGCGUGGUCGCUGGGGCAAUUGGGCGGCGUCUGCCUAGGUCUUGGGUGGCGCUGUUGCUGGUGAUCGCGGCGGCGCUCCAGUGCAUGGGUUGGUAUGUGACUGCAUCUCCGCUGUUUGGAUUGAAGUUUGGUUGGGUGUGAGUGCACGGGAGGAGGUGAGCAACCCCAAAUCUAGCGAUUUCCGUUCUAAAAUUCCAAUUAUCUCCCACUUACGUUUCCCUUUGUCAUUCUCUUUCCAAACUGUUUUUUGUGCAUCUGAGCGUUCCGAUCUGCUCGCUCCUGUGCCCCUCGAGGUCCCAAUUUGACUACAAGCCAGUGGAUGGUUCUCCCGAUGGUGGAAUUGAAGGGGCCCCAAUGGAUAAGGAUGUGACAGGCAAGCGGGAGGCCACCACUACCAGCGUCCUCAAGCUCUACCACUAAUCAUUUAUCUAGCACACAUCACCACCUGGGUUAUGUGGGUAUGUCCUAAAAAUAUGUAGUCAACCUUGCCAGCUCAAAUAAUUUUUAUUUGCUUCAAUCCCCAAUCUGGUUCGUAGCAGACAUGCAGUUAGUAGAAUCUUGCCUCCUGGUUGUAGAAUUUUUGGUCGAUUCGUUGGCUGCUUCAUAUUGUUAAACCAUGGAAUAAUUUCUGAUCCUUCGUGGACUGAAUUGUUGGAUUCUUUUCCCCCUUCCUGUCGUUCAUACAUCACCAUUUGUUUCUGAAACCAAGUCAUAUUUGCCGGAUUUCUAAAUUUCAGAGAUUGCAGAUAGUUAUUUCAAGUUUAAAAAUUGGUUGUAAUUUUGGUUCAUCAGUUGUACCAUAUGCAAACACAUAUCUAUGAUUCAUGAAAGUUUUUGUUCUGUCAAUCAGGGUCAUACUCCCUGCAGCUAGUAGCUGCUCUAAACAUUGUUGUAAUGUUACUACUUAAUACUUAAUAAUGAUUGUGGAGGUGCUGCUAACAUUUCCUACUGCAACAACAACAGAGGUAAAAAAUUAUGUGUGGGCUUCAAUGAUGUAAUUGAUUUCUAUUUGCCAUGCGUUAGUGUUUCCUAUCAUCUAGCUUCGGAUUUAAAGUAAAUAUAUAUACUUCCUGUUGGAGUUGAAGUAAGUAUCUCACGUUUGAGCUGCUUGUGUGCCAUUUUUUUUACCUGGGCCCUUAUUUUAAUCUCAGCUGUAGUUAAUGGCAACAAGCACCCACGACGCCCCUAUUUUAUUUACCUGGGCCACUAAUAUUAUUUCAGCUCUAUUUGGUCUUUGGAAAUGGUAUAUCUGGAAAUAAAGAACUAUGCGUGUCAUUCUAUCAUUCUGCAAAUUAGUCAAUUUUGUAGUUUCUUUCUUUUCCUCAGUGAUAUGCCAAUAUGUUUCAGCUCAGCGCAUGGAGUAAUUAGAUGGUCCUUCUCCUGUGAUUUACUAGAUUGUCAGCAAUGAUUCAAAGGUCAGUUCCUUUAGACAUAGAUGUGGAAUAAAGCAUCAACCUAUUUAAUAAUGUAUCCAUCCAUCUAGCAACAGGUAGCGUAACAAGCAUAAGUAGAUACUGACCCAGACAAAGAAACCCACUAAAGAGAUGGCAGUAGUCUUGGUGAGCGCUCUGAAUCUACAAAUUCCUUGAUCCAUUUUUUGUUGUUGAGAAAACACAAAAGACUUUUACGUUUCAUUGCAUUGAAAAGAAGUUUGGUACAAUCCUCCUAGGAGGCGAGUUUACAAGAUGAGUACAGGCACACUAGUGGACAUCCCAAGUCUGAGGCAGGAUGGCGCGGAGUCCUAUAGCACCUGCUCUGCCCGUCGGUUACUUCCAUGGUCGCUAGGAUUUUGAUCCAUUUUUACAUUAUGCAAGCAUAACAGAAGAGAUAAAUGUAGACACUUUUAGGCACAUACCCCAAAUAUGCCUGACAUUAGAUCCAGAUCAGUAAAUUAACAGUAUGCCAACUACACAUAGCAUUUCAGACGAAAAAAAUGUAGACAUAAAAUGGGAGCAUAGUAGCCAGACACUUCGAACUUCAAAUAUCAUAAAAUCCUAUAUAAAAAGGUAAAUUUCUAACUGAUGCUUGUGCAAUUUAUGUUAUCUUCUAGUUUAAUUCUCUGUAUGUAUAUGCUAGUAUGUAUAAGUAAAAAUAUGCAUGUGUUUGUUUUCCUCAGGGAAGAGCAUUCCUCUAUUUAUUUUAUCAUCUAAUUUAAUUCUCUUUAUGUAUACAUGUUAUAAGUAAAAAUCUGCAUGCGUGCUUUUCUCUAGCAAAGAGCAUUGUUCUAUUUAUCUCGGACCAUCAUGUCUCAUUCACUGGGUUGUUGGUAAGAAUAUGUCCAUGUUUUAAUGUUUUUUUGACUACAGUCUAUAGUUGUAAAAUCUGUCAUUAAGCUUCAGCACUUCACUCUUGCAAGCUUCUUUCAAGUGCGGUCGCCUGAGAUUACCCCAUUGGCUUUGACUAAGACUUCCAAUUAAUUGUUAGGUUGCUUAUCCUGAAGUUCAUGAUCCUGCAGGCGAGCAAAGGAUGUGAUAAGCGCAGUUUUGUCUCUGUAGUUUUGUAGACUUCAUUCAUCAUGACGAUUUUAUGGAGUCUGAACAAUGUGUAGCUGCAAUGGAGGUUCCAGGAAGACUUCAAGAUGCUAGGCAUCAACCAUUUUGAGGUCGUUUUAGCAAGACCUAAUGUUUCAGUGCAUAUAGCGCAGUGUAACAUAUCAAGUCAGUUUGUUUCUGUAAUUAUACGGCCUUGUCCAUAUGUUUUACCCCACCAUCAGUAUUUUGCAUGAUGCCCUAGGUAAUUUGUGUUCAGAAAUUUACAUUGUGUAUCUGCAUACUUGGCUGGCAAUAUCAUUACCUGACAGCCUCCGGACACAUUCCUAUAGAAUCUUAAUUCUCAAAAAAGAAACCCUAUAACCUUAAGGAGCUAUUUCAUUCCUUAAAAGUAUACUUUUGUUGCAGGGCCAGUAUAUUGGAAAUCAGGGGCAGAGCUCAGCCACCAGCUCCAUCUGUAUUUGCUUUCGUACCAAUAACUGGAAAGAUAAUAUUAUUCUCCUUGAUUUCACCGACAAUUGCAGCAUAUGACGCCAAUAUAAAUUGUCCUGCCAGUUCUUUAACAUAAUUAGGAGUCAGGUUCCAAAACAAUUAUCUGAAACUUACCUUUGACCAUCCUCACCUUAACUUUACAUCGCAC